RNAcentral lists this ribosomal RNA (429 nucleotides) under uncultured bacterium. RNAcentral's name for it is "bacterial SSU rRNA". It matches the Rfam family "Bacterial small subunit ribosomal RNA", at positions 336 to 757 of the family's 1533-position model. The record is from RNAcentral.
CUCCUACGGGAGGCAGCAGUGGGGAAUUUUGGACAAUGGGGGCAACCCUGAUCCAGCCAUGCCGCGUGAGUGAAGAAGGCCUUCGGGUUGUAAAGCUCUUUCGGCCGGGAAGAAAUCGCAUCGGUUAAUACCCGGUGUGGAUGACGGUACCGGAAUAAGAAGCACCGGCUAACUACGUGCCAGCAGCCGCGGUAAUACGUAGGGUGCGAGCGUUAAUCGGAAUUACUGGGCGUAAAGCGUGCGCAGGCGGUUUGUUAAGAUAGGCGUGAAAUCCCCGGGCUCAACCUGGGAACUGCGCUUAUGACUGGCAGGCUAGAGUACGGCAGAGGGGGGUGGAAUUCCACGUGUAGCAGUGAAAUGCGUAGAGAUGUGGAGGAACACCAAUGGCGAAGGCAGCCCCCUGGGUCGAUACUGACGCUCAUGCACGAA